GAUGAACGCUGGCGGCGUGCCUAAUACAUGCAAGUCGAACGCUGGAGAUCUAGCUUGCUAGCUCGAAGGAGUGGCGAACGGGUGAGUAAUACAUAAGCAACCUACCCACGAAGACUGGGAUAAUCUCUGGAAACGGGGACUAAUACCGGAUAGGUAAUCGGAAGGCAUCUUCUGGUUAUUAAAGGUUAAAAACACUGGUGGAUGGGCUUAUGGCGCAUUAGUUAGUUGGUGAGGUAACGGCCCACCAAGACGAUGAUGCGUAGCCGGCCUGAGAGGGUGAACGGCCACAUUGGGACUGAGACACGGCCCAGACGCCUACGGGAGGCAGCAGUAGGGAAUUUUCGGCAAUGGGGGCAACCCUGACCGAGCAACGCCGCGUGAGUGAAGACGGCCUUCGGGUUGUAAAGCUCUGUUGUAAGGGAAGAACGGUAGAUAGAGAAUAUCUAAGUGACGGUACCUUACCAGAAAGCCACGGCUAACUACGUG
This 486-nucleotide ribosomal RNA is filed under the name uncultured bacterium. RNAcentral's name for it is "partial 16S ribosomal RNA". It matches the Rfam family "Bacterial small subunit ribosomal RNA", at positions 28 to 507 of the family's 1533-position model. The record is from RNAcentral.